CGGAGCUGCUCAGGAAAACACGGCGAUUAAUAAUGCUGAGCGGACACAUGUGAACCCAACUGGAGAGACACCACUGUCUUUUAAAAUACAUUUUCCUGCAAGCAAACCUGAAGCAAAACCACAUUUCUCACUCUGAUUUCUCAGAUUUGAUGCUGGAAUGAAAGUAGCUCUACAGAAAACAGAACCAUCUUCAGUGAAGAACAGGAAUUUUAUUUAAAUCUUCAUGCGUAGGCAUGAUAGACCCCAAUUUUACUUCAGCAAAUAUCACAACAAAAAAAAAUCCAAGCAGCCUAUACAGAACAGUGAAAUUGCCAAGGAUGUGGGCUCUCCACAGUGCCACUGCAGAAUCCAUGGGUUCAGAAGCCUCACUUUGGCUACGUCAUUUAUAACCAUUAAUUAAAUAAAGGUAGUCUUCAACCAUCACUUCUUGACUUCUCCAAGAUCUUCAAUGCUAUCAUCAUCCACCUAGGG
Molecule: long non-coding RNA, 471 nt
Filed under: Gallus gallus (chicken)
Lineage: Eukaryota; Metazoa; Chordata; Aves; Galliformes; Phasianidae
Description: long non-coding RNA NONGGAT002795
Source: RNAcentral